GAUGAACGCUGGCGGCGUGCUUAACACAUGCAAGUCGAACGAGAGAAGAUCGGUGCUUGCGCUGAUCCGAUCGAGUGGCGGACGGGUGAGUAACGCGUGGGUAACCUGCCUCAUACAGGGGAAUAACAGUUGGAAACGGCUGCUAAAACCGCAUAAGCGCACAGUAUCGCAUGAUACAGUGUGAAAAACUCCGGUGGUAUGAGAUGGACCCGCGUCUGAUUAGCUAGUUGGUGAGGUAACGGCCCACCAAGGCAACGAUCAGUAGCCGGCCUGAGAGGGUGAACGGCCACAUUGGGACUGAGACACGGCCCAAACUCCUACGGGAGGCAGCAGUGGGGAAUAUUGCACAAUGGGGGAAACCCUGAUGCAGCGACGCCGCGUGAGUGAUGAAGUAUUUCGGUAUGUAAAGCUCUAUCCGCAGGGAAGAUAAUGACGGUACCUGACUAAGAAGCACCGGCUAAAUACGUGCCAGCCGCCGCGGUAA
Molecule: ribosomal RNA, 484 nt
Filed under: uncultured bacterium
Lineage: Bacteria
Description: partial 16S ribosomal RNA
Rfam family: Bacterial small subunit ribosomal RNA
Source: RNAcentral